This is an RNA transcript of Musa acuminata AAA Group (dessert banana), 1806 nucleotides long. It is a transcript of the gene named small ribosomal subunit protein bS1c, with no coding region annotated. The transcript is spliced from 8 exons. The record is from RefSeq and is a predicted model, not a curated record. Lineage: Eukaryota; Viridiplantae; Streptophyta; Magnoliopsida; Zingiberales; Musaceae.
GGCUUCUGCUCAGCGGCUGCAGAAAGAACUAGGUAGCAAGCGAAAGGAAAUGGCGGCCUUGGCGCCGCAUAGCUUCUCCGCCGGACUCCGGUGGCCGCUGGUCUCCUCCUCCCCACUCUCUCGACCUUCCUCCGCGGCCGUCCCCUCGAAGCCGCCGGUGAGGCGCUCCUACUGCCACGCCGCGGUUGUCGCCGGCACGUACGCGCUCACCCCCGCCCAGAAGGAGCGGCAGAAGCUGAGGGAACUCUUCGAGGAGGCCUCCGAUAGGUGCCGCACCGCCCCCAUGGAGGGCGUCGCCUUCACCAUCGAGGACUUCCACGCCGCCCUCGACAAGUACGAUUUCGACUCCGAGAUCGGCGCCAAGGUUAAAGGAACUGUCUUAUUGACAGAUGGAAAUGGCGCAUUGGUUGAUAUCACUGCAAAAUCUUCUGCCUACUUACCUCUUCAAGAAGCAUGCAUUCACAAAAUUAAGCAUGUCGCUGAAGCGGGCAUAUAUCCAGGAUUAGUUGAAGAGUUUGUCAUAAUUGGUGAGAAAACUGCGGAUGAUAGCCUGGUUCUGAGCCUGCGGUCUAUUCAAUAUGGUCUUGCAUGGGAAAGGUGUAAGCAGCUUCAGGCCGAAGAUGUUGUUGUCAAGGGUCAGGUUGUUGGUGGAAAUAAAGGCGGUGUUGUAGCCAUUGUAGACGGCCUUCGUGGUUUUGUUCCAUUUUCACACAUAUCAACAAAAUCAACCGCAGAAGAACUCAUUGGUAAGGAGCUACCCCUAAAAUUUGUGGAGGUUGAUGAGGAGCAAUCUAGGCUUGUUCUCAGCAACCGCAAGGCCAUGGCAGAAAGUCAGGUUCAACUUGGAAUUGGCUCGGUGGUCUUAGGAAGUGUCCAAAGCCUUAAACCUUAUGGUGCCUUUGUCGAUAUUGGUGGAAUCAGUGGUCUACUCCAUGUUAGCCAGAUUAGUCAUGAUCGUAUCACAGACAUCUCAACAGUCCUGCAACCUGGUGACUUCCUUAAGGUAAUGAUACUGAGCCAUGAUCGUGAAAGAGGCCGAGUAAGCCUUUCUACUAAAAAGCUGGAAUCCACCCCUGGUGAUAUGAUCCGGAAUCCUAAGCUUGUCUUUGAGAAGGCUGAUGAGAUGGCGCAAGCAUUCCGGCAGAGGAUUGCCCAAGCCGAGGCCAUGGCUCGUGCCGACAUUCUAAGAUUCCAGCCUGAGAGUGGUUUGACUCUCAACUCUGAAGGAAUUUUGAGCACCCUCACAUCGGACUUGCCUGCGGAGGGUUUGGACCUUAGUGACAUACCUGCGGCAGAAGUGUAAAUAAGGUAUGGUUUCAAAAUAAGGUUUUAUACGGCUUCAUGUUUCAUAUGGAAGCCUGUGAACGUACAUUACGGAUUCUUUUCAGGAGUUUUUACUACAUAUUAGAGACAUUAUUGUUUGCACGAGUCAAAUGAGAGUUUCUUGGCAACAGAGAAAAAGAAAGGGAGAGAAAAUGUUGGUUUUCUGCACUCUCCCGUUGAAGUGUUCCAUUGCGACAUGCGUAUGUCUCCACAGGUGAUGUUGGCAUUGAUGCCACUUGCAGAUCUUAACAGGGCGGCGAUCAAAUAUAAGCACGGAUCUUUACGCUUAAUGGACGCAGAUCAUGCCUUGAAAGUUCGCUGCCUGGAGAUAAACCGGAGCGGGGUUCUUCGGGCACCGGCACGGCUCUUAAAGGCUUUUCCCAAUCUAAUCUUUUUCACGCAUCUCCAAGCUUGAUGGAUCAAUGUAUACAUUGGGUAAAAACUUCAACAAGUAAUCUAAAGAUUUGAGUGCGUAGGAAAGUA